RNAcentral lists this ribosomal RNA (712 nucleotides) under Rhodanobacter spathiphylli. RNAcentral describes it as "bacterial SSU rRNA". It matches the Rfam family "Bacterial small subunit ribosomal RNA", at positions 340 to 1036 of the family's 1533-position model. The record is from RNAcentral. Lineage: Bacteria; Pseudomonadati; Pseudomonadota; Gammaproteobacteria; Lysobacterales; Rhodanobacteraceae.
UACCGGGAGCAGCAGUGGGGAAUAUUGGACAAUGGGCGCAAGCCUGAUCCCAGCAAUGCCGCGUGUGUGAAGAAGGCCCUCGGGUUUGUAAAGCACUUUUAUCCAGGAACGAAAUACCCACGGGUUAAUACCCUAUGGGGCUGACGGUACCUGAGGAAUAAGCACCGGCUAACUUCGUGCCAGCAGCCGCGGUAAUACGAAGGGUGCAAGCGUUAAUCGGAAUUACUGGGCGUAAAGGGUGCGUAGGCGGUUCGUUAAGUCUGUCGUGAAAUCCCCCGGGCUCAACCUGGGAAUGGCGAUGGAUACUGGCGAGCUAGAGUGUGUCAGAGGAUGGUGGAAUUCCCGGUGUAGCGGUGAAAUGCGUAGAGAUCGGGAGGAACAUCAGUGGCGAAGGCGGCCAUCUGGGACAACACUGACGCUGAAGCACGAAAGCGUGGGGAGCAAACAGGAUUAGAUACCCUGGUAGUCCACGCCCUAAACGAUGCGAACUGGGAUGUUGGUCUCAACUCGGAGAUCAGUGUCGAAGCUAACGCGUUAAGUUCGCCGCCUGGGGGAGUACGGUCGCAAGACUGAAACUCAAAGGAAUUGACGGGGGCCCGCACAAGCGGUGGAGGAGUGGGUUUAAUUCGAUGCAACGCGAAGAACCUUACCUGGCUUGACAUGUCCGGAAUCCUUGAGAGAAUCAGGAGUGCCUUCUGGGAAUCGGAACACA